ACGGAGGAUGCGAGCGUUAUCCGGAUUCAUUGGGUUUAAAGGGUGCGUAGGCGGACUAUUAAGUCAGUGGUGAAAUCCUGCAGCUUAACUGCAGAACUGCCAUUGAUACUGAUAGACUUGAGUUUGGUUAAGGUAGGUGGAAUGUGUGAUGUAGAGGUGAAAUGCGUAGAUAUUGGAAGGAAUACCAAUUGCGAAGGCGACUUACUGGGCGGAUACUGACGCUGAGGCGCGAAAGCGUGGGGAGCAAACAG
Molecule: ribosomal RNA, 251 nt
Filed under: uncultured prokaryote
Description: partial 16S rRNA
Rfam family: Bacterial small subunit ribosomal RNA
Source: RNAcentral